UACGUAGGGAGCUAGCGUUGUUCGGAUUUACUGGGCGUAAAGGGCGCGUAGGCGGCCACCGCAAGUCGACUGUGAAAUCUCCGGGCUUAACCCGGAAAGGUCAGCCGAUACUGCGGGGCUAGAGUGCAGAAGGGGCAACUGGAAUUCUCGGUGUAGCGGUGAAAUGCGUAGAUAUCGAGAGGAACACCUGCGGCGAAGGCGGGUUGCUGGGCUGACACUGACGCUGAGGCGCGAAAGCUAGGGGAGCGAACGGG
RNAcentral lists this ribosomal RNA (254 nucleotides) under uncultured bacterium. RNAcentral's name for it is "partial 16S ribosomal RNA". It matches the Rfam family "Bacterial small subunit ribosomal RNA", at positions 524 to 776 of the family's 1533-position model. The record is from RNAcentral.